RNAcentral lists this ribosomal RNA (301 nucleotides) under uncultured bacterium. RNAcentral describes it as "partial 16S ribosomal RNA". It matches the Rfam family "Bacterial small subunit ribosomal RNA", at positions 509 to 809 of the family's 1533-position model. The record is from RNAcentral.
CAGUCGCCACGGGAAUACGAAGGGUGCAAGCGUUAAUCGGAUUUACUGGGCGUAAAGGGCGCGUAGGUGGUUAUUUAAGUGAGAUGUGAAAGCCCCGGGCUUAACCUGGGAACUGCAUCUUAUACUGGGUAACUGGAGUGCAGUAGAGGGUAGUGGAAUUUCCGGUGCAGCGGUGAAAUGCGUAGAUAUCGGAAGGAACACCAGUGGCGAAGGCGGCUACCUGGACUGAGACUGACACUGAGGCGCGAGAGCGUGGGGAGCAAACAGGAUUAGAUACCCGUGUAGUCCCUGUCUCUUAUAA